This is an RNA transcript of Magnolia sinica, 1492 nucleotides long. It is a transcript of the gene named alpha-mannosidase-like, with no coding region annotated. The transcript is spliced from 9 exons. Lineage: Eukaryota; Viridiplantae; Streptophyta; Magnoliopsida; Magnoliales; Magnoliaceae. The record is from RefSeq and is a predicted model, not a curated record.
UUCUUGUUUCUACUCUUCACUAUAUGUGGUCUUAAUCUGUCGUCAAUGGCAUUCAAGAACUUAAAGUAGGAUUCAAGCCUGAACUUGGUUCUUUGAAGUAUUACAAUGGUUUGUCACAUGGAUGUGAAAUAGCUCCUUGCCAGUACAAUACAUAUGUGCCCAAUUUUGGAGUUCAGAAUAAUACAUAUGAAUUUGCUCUGUUUUACAAUCUUUAUAAUCUUUUUAUGGAAAUCUGGACCCAUGCAUUGUUGGGGAAACUGAAAAAUGGUUUCAAAGACUUUUUGUUCUUCUUCUCAGGUAUGAAACUUCAAGUUCUUGUUCUGUUAUUUAUUUAUUAUUUUAAAUUUCUAUAGUUUGCUGACAUAUCAUGUUGUCCAACCACCAGAUUUUCACAAGUGCCUUUAUUGUUCAUUAUAGUCCUCGAAAUGGUUUCCAUUUUGAAGUCAAUGAUGAAUCUUCACCUAUACAGGAUGAUCCUCGUCUAUAUGAUGACAAUGUUGAACAAUGCAUAAAUGAUUUCAUUGAUGCUGCUAGGACUCAAGCAAAUGUGACACAUACAAAUCACAUCAUGUGGACAAUGGGUGAUGAUUUUCAGUACCAAUAUGCUGAAUCUUGGUUCAAACAAAUGGACAAGUUUAUCCAUUAUGUUAACAAGGCAGUUAUCUAUUUGGAUGGUGAUGGUUGCAAGUUAAGAAGUGGACUGGUGAAAAUUGAGGAAGGUUUAACUCUUGACACGUUAAUUGCUUAUGAUUCAUGUGAUCUUUGCAAGAUGACUCUCAUGCACCAUCUCUGCAAAAGAGACUUGUUUUGUGCCAGUGAUGAAUGUCUCUGUACAAGACCCAUGUCAGCAGGUCGUCAACGUUCCAGAGAAGGGAGGUCGUAAGCAUCCUCGAAGUGACAAUAUUCAGGCUGCUUGGGUAUUGUUGACAAUGAUGUCGUCGAGCUAAAUUAUCUACAACGACAGGUGUCUGUGCUGGUUAAAAGUUUGGCUGCCAAGGAACCAUCUGCAUGCUGGAAUUUCUCACUAUCUUUUUAACGAAUUCUACCCUCUCCUUAUUCCCAUUCUCCGCUUCCUCUUCUGUGUAGAGAGAGAUGGCUUGGAGGUGCCUUCUCACGCAGGUCAGAUUCACCAUCUGAAUAGCUUUAUUUUUUUGAAUCUGUUCAAUGGUUUUUUUUUCUUCGUCGUCUUGAAUCUCAAACCCUUUUCUUCUUGUUGCCGGUUCGCCCUAUUCCCUUUUUUUAAAAGAUUUUUUUUUUUUUUUUAGGUUUCAAGGAUUUCUACAAUUUUCUCCCGAAAUCCCCUUCUUUCCAUCGUCGACAGAUUUUUCUUUCAAUUUUCUGUAUUUCUGCUUUAUUCAAAUGGAUGGAUUUUCAAGGUUUUCUGAUGUUUGGUUCUUACAUCGGUUCUCUUGUUAGUCUUUAUGCUUCAAGAAUCUAUUUUUUUCCUUUAUUAUUUAUUUAUUUUUGGAAAUGAGUGUUGAUGCAAUCUGGA